Molecule: transfer RNA, 88 nt
Filed under: Fidelibacterota bacterium
Lineage: Bacteria; Pseudomonadati; Fidelibacterota
Description: tRNA-Ser
Rfam family: tRNA
About the family: Transfer RNA (tRNA) molecules are approximately 80 nucleotides in length. Their secondary structure includes four short double-helical elements and three loops (D, anti-codon, and T loops). Further hydrogen bonds mediate the characteristic L-shaped molecular structure. tRNAs have two regions of fundamental functional importance: the anti-codon, which is responsible for specific mRNA codon recognition, and the 3' end, to which the tRNAs corresponding amino acid is attached (by aminoacyl-tRNA synthetases). tRNAs cope with the degeneracy of the genetic code in two manners: having more than one tRNA (with a specific anti-codon) for a particular amino acid; and 'wobble' base-pairing, i.e. permitting non-standard base-pairing at the 3rd anti-codon position.
Source: RNAcentral
GGAGAGAUGGCCGAGUGGCUGAAGGCGCACGCUUGGAAAGCGUGUUUACGGUAUCCCCGUAACGGGGGUUCGAAUCCCCCUCUCUCCG